GACGCUCAUGCACGAAAGCGUGGGGAGCAAACAGGAUUAGAUACCCUGGUAGUCCACGCCCUAAACGAUGUCAACUAGCUGUUGGGGCCUUCGGGCCUUGGUAGCGCAGCUAACGCGUGAAGUUGACGCCUGGGGAGUACGGUCGCAAGAUUAAAACUCAAAGGAAUUGACGGGGACCCGCACAAGCGGUGGAUGAUGUGGAUUAAUUCGAUGCAAC
Molecule: ribosomal RNA, 217 nt
Filed under: Achromobacter xylosoxidans
Lineage: Bacteria; Pseudomonadati; Pseudomonadota; Betaproteobacteria; Burkholderiales; Alcaligenaceae
Description: partial 16S ribosomal RNA
Rfam family: Bacterial small subunit ribosomal RNA
Source: RNAcentral